This 623-nucleotide ribosomal RNA is filed under the name uncultured bacterium. RNAcentral's name for it is "bacterial SSU rRNA". It matches the Rfam family "Bacterial small subunit ribosomal RNA", at positions 149 to 757 of the family's 1533-position model. The record is from RNAcentral.
CCGGGAAACCGGGGCUAAUACCGGAUAACAUUUUGAACUGCAUGGUUCGAAAUUGAAAGGCGGCUUCGGCUGUCACUUAUGGAUGGACCCGCGUCGCAUUAGCUAGUUGGUGAGGUAACGGCUCACCAAGGCAACGAUGCGUAGCCGACCUGAGAGGGUGAUCGGCCACACUGGGACUGAGACACGGCCCAGACUCCUACGGGAGGCAGCAGUAGGGAAUCUUCCGCAAUGGACGAAAGUCUGACGGAGCAACGCCGCGUGAGUGAUGAAGGCUUUCGGGUCGUAAAACUCUGUUGUUAGGGAAGAACAAGUGCUAGUUGAAUAAGCUGGCACCUUGACGGUACCUAACCAGAAAGCCACGGCUAACUACGUGCCAGCAGCCGCGGUAAUACGUAGGUGGCAAGCGUUAUCCGGAAUUAUUGGGCGUAAAGCGCGCGCAGGUGGUUUCUUAAGUCUGAUGUGAAAGCCCACGGCUCAACCGUGGAGGGUCAUUGGAAACUGGGAGACUUGAGUGCAGAAGAGGAAAGUGGAAUUCCAUGUGUAGCGGUGAAAUGCGUAGAGAUAUGGAGGAACACCAGUGGCGAAGGCGACUUUCUGGUCUGUAACUGACACUGAGGCGCGAA